Ailuropoda melanoleuca (giant panda) is the source of this 3976-nucleotide RNA transcript. It is a transcript of the gene named cyclin D1 binding protein 1, with no coding region annotated. The record is from RefSeq and is a predicted model, not a curated record. NCBI's taxonomy places the organism in Eukaryota, Metazoa, Chordata, Mammalia, Carnivora, Ursidae. The transcript is spliced from 13 exons.
UGACGGAAACGAACCUGGGUCUGUGACUACCGGAAGUAGAGCGCCUACUUCAGUGCGGCCUUGGCAGCUUCGGUGGCUGCUUUUGUCUGGAGGUUCCAGGCGAGCUACUGAGAUGGCGAGCGCAGCGGCGCCGACAGCGGCAGUCCCCACCCCAGCUCCGCCUUUGGAGCAGAUCCGGCACUUGGCAGUGGAGCUGCGGUUGCUCCUGCCUGGAGUACGGGUCGGCGAAGCCCGAGAGACCACCAAGGAGUUUAAUCCUGAGACGUUUUGGAGGAGACUCAACGAGGCAGCUGUGAACGUGUCACGGGAAGCCACAACUCUGACUGAAAUCUUCUCUCGAGUUCCACUGCCUUCUCCACAGGAAACCCAGAGGUUCUGUGAACAAGUCCGUGCUGCCGUCAAGGCAAUCAUUGCUGUGUACUAUUCACUUCCCAAGGAUCAGGGAAUCACCCUGAGAAAGCUGGUACGGAACGCCACUCUGGACAUCGUAGAUGGAAUGGCUCAACUUAUGGAUGUGCUUUUCAUUACUCCAGCUCAGAGCCCAGAGAACAGUGACCUUAUUUCCUACAACAGUGUCUGGACUGCAUGCCAGCAGGUGCCUCGGAUACCAAGAGAUAACAAAGCUGCAGCCCUUUCAAUGCUGACAAAGAAUGUGGAUUUUGUGAAGGAUGCACAUGAGGAAAUGGAGCAGGCUGUGGAAGAAUGUGACCCAUACUGUGGCCUCUUAAAUGACACUGAGGACAACUCUGACAACCCUGGUGAUGAAGAAGAUGACAGGUUGGGGUGUCCAAACAAUCGGGACUUAUAUUGGUCAGAGGAAGAUCAAGAGCUCAUAAUCCCAUGCCUUGCACUGGUGAGAGCAUCCAAAGCCUGCCUGAAGAAAAUCCGGAUCUCAGUGGCAGAGAAUGGGAAGAAAGAUCAGGUGGCCCAGCUGGAUGACAUUGUGGAUAUUUCUGAUGAGAUCAGCCCUAGUGUGGAUGAUUUGGCUCUGAGCAUAUAUCCACCUAUGUGCCACUUGACUGUGCGAAUCAAUUCUGCAAAACUUGUAUCUGUCUUAAAGAAGGCACUUGAAAUUACUAAAGCAAGUCAUGUGACCCCACAGCCAGAAGAUAGUUGGAUCCCUUUACUCAUUAAUGCCGUUGAUCACUGCAUGAACAGAAUCAAGGAACUCACUCAGAAUGAACUUGAAUUAUGGGAAGAUUGAGGCCCAGAGAGUAGAACCAGCUCACCUGAGAUCAUAUUUGGCUCUUUCACCUAAAGGCUCACCAAACCUACGGCACCAUGCAGCCCAGAAAAACUCUCCAAGGAGGGGGCCUGAGAGUAUUAUGAUAGUCUAUCUGGCAGUUCUCAUUUUACAAUGAGUCUUAUAAAUAUAACAAUAGACUUAUGCAGAGGCCCCUGAGCUUUCUGCGUCCUCUGGUUCUGUCUAUUUUCUUGCUUGAUGUUGGCCUCUGCCCCUUGUAUUUGGAUUCCCUGACUUUUACCUCCCCUUCUCUCCCACUUAGCUUUGAGGCUAUGGCACCCUCAUGCUUUCCCAGGAUUAUCUCCUGUAUGUAUCACAACCCAGUGAGAAUGAUCAUGUUGCGAUGCCAUAAAUCCUUGUUAACUGUCACCAUCAUCGUCACAACUAUGACCAUCGAUUUACCACCAACAACCUAUACCGUAUUGCCACCCAUAGCCAUACCACUGCUACCACCACCACAGCACCCACUACCACCCCCCAACAUAGCCCCACCAACCAUUGCAUCCACCACCAGCAGCACCUACUCCCACCCCCACCAUAGCCACACCAUCAUCACUUCCACCACCAUCCUACUUCUCUUAAUGAAAACAUGUUAUGAUGGAGGAGCUACUGAUAGUCAAGUAAGCCCCAUGGAGAAAUGGCUUGGCUCACCCUGUCCCAUGGCUGCAGGCCACACUUCUCUGCUCGACCACAAAAAAUGCCUGUCUUGAACUGUUGCUCUGUGCUGCCUUUCUGAAUCUGUCCUGAGAGAAAAUGAUAGAGGUACUUUCAUUGGCUUAAGAAUCUGCAAAUAGUAGAGUUUCCUUCCACUCCUUCUGUGAGGUCGCCCACAGGUUUCUUUUCUCUUGCUCCCUCCCCAUUGGUAUCUCUUGGGCCAGCUGCUGGUGGGAGUUACCCUUUUUCAUUUUAUCUCUUGUGCCAGGCUGGAGUAGGGGCUGGAAUGGGGGAAGAUCUGUCAGCUAGAGAAGCUAAGAGGAAACUUCUAAGUCUGUCGCUUCAGUGGUCUCAAGAGACCCUCAGAGAUGUUACCUGGACAAUACUGGAAGACUUUGGAAGACAUGACUCCAUAAACAGGAGGCCCACAUUCAACUCCAAAUCUCAGGCUCUAAACAUAUCAGGGCUUCAAGUUGCUAGAUGUUUGUGGCUGUUUUGGUAAUAGAAAGAGAGAAACUGUGUGUCUUGGAUUCAUCUGUGUGAAGCAGAUAAGGAGGUAGAAUUUGUUGGUGAGAAAAAAAUGUCCUAAAAGUAGAAGUCAGAGACCCAGCUCUUCUAAGCCCACUGGGUCUGGGACAGUGUUCCAGAGAAAGUUAGGAACUAUCUUGGGACUCAGAGCCUUUGUCUUUUCUAUUUCUACUUAUUUAGUCACUGAGGAGACAAGACACAGGAAAGGACGUCUUUGGCCCUCUUUGGUUUUCUAAAGCCCAGCAUUUGCUGGGGCUUCUAAGACUGUGCUAAUGGGAGCACUCUCAGGGGCAGCUGUGCUGGCCUGCAUGCAUAUGGGAUAUCUAUAGAAAGAUAUAAAAGAUGCUACAAAGAACAUUGGGUGCCUGUGGAGAGGAGAGCUGGAGAAUGGUGUAGGAAGAUGAUUUUUCUCCUGUUUACAUUUUUACACUUUAAAAAAAAUUUUUUUUAUUAUGAUAUGUUAGUCACCAUACAGUACAUCAUUAGUUUUUGAUGUAGUGCUCCAUGAUUCAUUGUUUGCAUAUAACACCCAGUGUUCCAUGCAAUAUGUGUUCUCCUUAAUACCCAUCACUGGGCUAGCCCCUCCCCCCACCCUCCUCCCCUCUAACUUUGAACCAUUGCCAUUUGAAGAAUCUUAUUAUGUUAAGAAAGAAAGAAAGAAGAAAGAAAGAAAGAAAGAAAGAAGAAAGAAAGAAAGAAAGAAAGAAAGAAAGAAAGAAAGAAAGAAAGAAAGAAAAAGAAAGAAAGGAAAAGAAAAGAAAAGAAAAGAAAGAAGAAAUGAAGCUGCUGCCUUCUUACUCCCCCAAAAAAUGAUCCUUCAUGAGAAAUGAAGAGAUUUGCUUGGACCUGCCUUUGGCCACUCUUGAAGGGGACAGUCUCCAGAGUGAUGCUGGCCCUGUGUUGAGGUUUGAGGACUCCAAUGCUGUAGCAGAGAAAAGAGAAUGUUAGAAGACCAUGUGUGUCAUGAGAACUCCAGAGCUCUUUUUCCCUCAGCAACCAGGGCUUUUCUUUCCUGGUGUUCUUAGAGACUGGCCUCAGUGCCAGUCACCAGAAAGAAGGUUAGCGAAAACCCCAGGAUAAGAUGGGGGCAAAGGCCACGUACUGCCAGCACUCACAGGACUCUCUGCUGUUUCUUGAAGAGCCCGCUUCCUUCCACAGUCAGCACACAGUCUUCCACGUGCUCUGAGAGGGGGUUCGAAAACAGCACCUGGAUGGAGAGUGGCUGGUUCACAACAGCAGCUCCUAAAACCUGAACAGAGAGAUCCAGAGGAGAAGAAGGGAGCAGAAGAUUAAUCUCAUUCCCCAGUUCCUCAUUCCUCAAACAUUUACAGAGGGCAUUGCUCUUCAGAUCUAUUUCCUGAAGACCUGGACUUCUGUGGCCCAUGAUUUUCCAGUUAUGACUUAAAACCAACUCAGUGGGUUGUCAUUAAUGUUUUUAAAAAAUGCAGUGGAAGAAAAUAUCAGUGCAUACCACAUGAGAUACUGUUAUGGAAAACUGUGCUUCAUUUAUACAUUCAUAGAUAUUUGUAUAAAAUGUUUUAUAUCCCUCAA